This is a long non-coding RNA of Gopherus evgoodei (Goodes thornscrub tortoise), 110 nucleotides long. RefSeq lists it as uncharacterized. The transcript has 3 exons. The record is from RefSeq and is a predicted model, not a curated record. NCBI's taxonomy places the organism in Eukaryota, Metazoa, Chordata, Testudines, Testudinidae.
ACAACAUUCAGGGGACUGGACCACUGACCUAUCAACUCUUAACACCCAAACUUUCAGUAACUCUAUUAUCAGUGCCUGCGAGUGUAAUUUAAACCAUAGAAACAGCCACA